Pristis pectinata (smalltooth sawfish) is the source of this 5748-nucleotide long non-coding RNA. RefSeq lists it as uncharacterized. The record is from RefSeq and is a predicted model, not a curated record. The transcript is spliced from 3 exons. Lineage: Eukaryota; Metazoa; Chordata; Chondrichthyes; Rhinopristiformes; Pristidae.
UCAGAAGUGUCGUUUAUUUUAAUCUCUGCUCUCACAAUAACCACAAACUACAGUGAUCCUGAAAGUUGUGACGAGCAAAAGACAAGAAGCGCCCACGAUCAGACCCGGAAUGGAAUCAGGACCAGAAUCAGGGCCAAGUCAGGGAAAGAACCAAGUCCAGUCCAUCCACAGAAGGCACACGUUUCCACUGCCACCUGCUUUAGUUCAUCACUGGAGAUGCUGAUUCAGUUAGGAUCACUGGCUGAUUUCCCCAGGAUCGCUGGCUGAUUUCACCAGGAUCGCUGGCUGAUUUCACCAGGAUCGCUGGCUGAUUUCACCAGGAUCGCUGGCUGAUUUCACCAGGAUCGCUGGCUGAUUUCACCAGGAUCGCUGGCUGAUUUCACCAGGAUCGCUGGCUGAUUUCCCCAGAAUCACUGGCUGAUUUCCCCAGGAUCGCUGGCUGAUUCCACUGGCAGAUUUUACCAGGUCUUUAAUUCAGGUACUGAAGCUCAACUGGGACAUGAUCUUAACAGAGACAAAAGUCGGUGAGUUCCAGCCGUGAUUCUGGUCUGUUUGGACAAUUCCCCCAGGUCUGCGAUACAUUUACUAAAUCCCAAGAAUCCACAGGCAACAUUUGCAGUCAUUUUAAUACUGAACAGAUCAUCUGACACAACGUAACGAGAACAGCCCAUAAACACCUGAAGCUGAAGAUUAAGAAGUUAAAAACAGAGAUCAAAGAGGCUGGGGGAUGGGAGGAGGUGUCAGACGUGGGAACAGGGGGAAGACGAGUGUCUGGGAGGGAGGGGAGGGCAGAGAGCAGCGCAGAGGUGAAAGGGAGGGAGAUGGGAGUGGGUGAGGGGAGAGGAGGGCAAGAAGAUAAAAAUAGAUGUGGUGGAAGAUUUUGGAUUGGGCUGGGGAGAAAGAGAGAACAGUGAGGGACGGAGGGAGGAAUGGAGGGAGUUAGGGUGGUGGAGGGAGAUAGGGAGUGAGAGGGAGUUAAGGAGAUGGAGGGAGAUAGGUUGGUGGAGGAUCAGAGGGAGUGGGAGGGGGUUAGGGAGAGGGAGGGAGAUAGGUUGGUGGAGGAUCAGAGGGAGUGGGAGGGGGUUAGGGAGAGGGAGGGAGAUUGGGCAGAGGGAGAUGGGGAGUGGGAGGCAGAUCGGGAGGCAGUGGGGCAAUAGCCUGUGUUUUACCCCAGACCACUGACUGCAGGAGAGGUGAGCUCCGAGGAUGAGCAGGCUGUUGAGGUCAGGGUGACCAUUCACCCCAUUCCCUACCGCACACCUCCAGCCAGGAGGGUGGCGGGCACGCAGCACACUCCCGCACUAUAACCACGGAGUUUUGAUUGGCUAUCCACUGAGCGUGUGUGGCUCCUGUGGAGACCAUCUCCAGCGGAGUCCACAUUCUGUGUGAUACGACCCCUGGGAUUAGCAGCAAGAUCCCCAGCACAGACUGCAUCAUUCCCAAUCCCAACCCAAAUAACCCACUCCCCUCAAACGAUUCUGGCUACACACAGACUGAAGCCCCCUCUACACUGUCCCACCACACACUCCCAGGGCAGAUCAGAAUGGGUUCAAUAUGAACAGAACUUGCAUAGCGCCUUCCAUGGAUCUCCCAAAGCCCCGUCCAGCCCACUGAAUCCCUCUGAGGUGUAAGCACUGUUACAAUUUAAUAGGAAUUGCAGUUGUCUGUCUGCCCAGAUUUGAGGAUAAUGGGUGGGAACCAGAGACAUUUCCUUGCUCUUCUUCAAAUUACGAACAUACAAAUCCGGAGCAAGUGUGGAGCCCUCCGUUCGCCACCCCUGCUCUGUAACCUCACUCCAGAUUCCUGACUACCCUGGCAAGCGUUCACCUCACUGAUUAUAAAGAAUCUAUCGACCUCUGCCUUCAGAAUAUCCAGACGCUCUUCCCACCGUCCUCUGAGAAAGAGUUCCAAAGACUCCUAAAGACUCAUCUCCGUCUUAAGUAGACCACCCCUUAUUUUUAAACAGUGACACCUAGAUCUAGAUACUCCCACAAGAGAAAACAUCCCCUCCACACCCAUCCUGCCAAGACCAUACAUGAUCUCAUGUGCUUCAAUCAACUCCUGUCUCACUCUCUUAUUCAGCCUGUCUUCAUACCAUAACCAAUUCCAGGCAGUGCUCUGGAAAAUCUUUUCUGAACUGCUUCCAAUGCAUUAAUAUCUUUCCUUAAAAAGAGACACCAAUACCUUACACAGUAGUUCAGAUCCCCUUUACAGCAGAAAUAUAAUCUCCCUACUUUUGUAUUCAAUUCCCUUUGCAAUAAACAAUAACAUUCUGUUAGCUUUCCAAAUUACUUGCGGUAAUUGCACACUAGCCUUCUGUGAAUCAUGUGCCAGACACUCGAUCCCUCUACAUCUCAGAGCUCUGCAGUCUCUCUCCAUUUAGAUAAAAUACUUUUCUAUUUUUCCUGCUUCAAAAUAGCCUCAUGGGAACAUUUAUUUACCGGUGAGAGAGGAGAUGGGCGUGGGCUUAAUGUGUUAUCUAAAAUAUGGCACCUCAGCCGGUGAAGCACUCCAGCACUGCAUUGCAGUAAAGUUAGUUUAAGAGCUGAGACUGUGCAUUCACCACUCUGAGGCCAGCAGCAGCAUCUCCAAAUCUGUUCUUGUUAAAGAGAGAAAAAAUAUACGUUAGGCACAGAGUGAAGCUCCCUCUACACUGUCCCAUCGCACACACCCAGCGCAGGUCAGACACAGAGUGAAGCUCCCUCUACACUGUCCUGUCACACACUCCCAGCGCAGGUCAGACACAGAGUGAAGCUCCCUCUACACUGUCCCAUCGCACACUCCCAGCGCAGGUCAGGCACAGAGUGAAGCUCCCUCUACACUGUCCCAUCACACACUCCCAGCACAGGUCAGACACAGAGUGAAGCUCCCUCUACUCUGUCCUGUCACACACUCCCAGUGCAGGUCAGACACAGAGUGAAGCUCCCUCUACACUGUCCUGUCACACACUCCCAGGGCAGGGACAGUACGAGUAGAGACAGAGUGAAGCUCCCUCUACACUUUCCAGUCACACACUCCCAAGGACAAGGUAGCGAGGGGGGGCAAGGAGGGCUGAGGAUAUCGUGGUAAACUUGCUCCUGGGGCUAGCUAAGGUGGCUAUCCGUGGGUCCUGGAAGCAGGUAGCAGAAGGUGCUGCCCGGGCGGACUGCCUCGAGAUGUUUCGAGAUUAUGUUUGUGCCCGGGUAGCUGUCGAGAGGGAAUAUGCAGUGUCCACGGGUACCAUGGAGGCGUUCUGGGACCGUUGGGCACUGCGGGGGAUAAGUGCCAUCCUUGGUGGGGAUGGGGAUACUUUAGUUUAGAUGUGUUAGUGACUGUGUUUAGUCACUGUUAUUGUCUGUUUGUUGUAGUUUUGUAGUAUUGUAGAUUGUGUUUUGUAAUAAAGGAAUUAAAGAAGAAAGGACAAGGUAGCAUGGAUACAUAAUGGGUGGGCUAGAAAGUAAAUCAGCCUUUGCCAGCUUCUCACUAUUCAAUAAGUGCUUUUCCUUUUUCUGUGCAAUGUGAAGAUUCUCACAUUUUGCUACUUAAUGCUCUGUCUCCCACUGUCUCACUCCAUCAGCUCCUACCUGGAUUCCUUUGCAGACCACGUCACAUCUCACUUCCCACCCAGUUUAAGUAUUUGCCAACGUGCGACACAUUACGCUUCAUCAAAGCCAUGGCUACAGACAGACAGAGUUAUGGCCCUCGGUGUCCCAACACCCCACUGACUGCACCUCUACAACCCGACAAAGACCUGCUGAUUCUGACUCUGUUUUCUGUCACUGAACCAAUCGCUUACCCGCAUUUUCAGAAACCACCUUUCAUUUGGUACUUUAUCAAAUGGCUAUUAAAAUCCGUACACUACAUCUGCCGCUCAUCGGCCCAUCUAUAUACUGUUAAAUCUGCCAAAGACCAGCUUCACUCUGCCUCACCACCACCUUCUGCAUCCCUGUGUUCUGUUACCAUGGAAUAAAACAUUCCAGCAUUUUUGUAAACACGGAGCUCAGGCAAACUGCCCCCAGUUCCAUAUUUUCUCUCUCCCCUCCUUUCAGAAAUGCCAUUUAUUUUGGCACCUUUCCAAUGCCCUUGGACCACUGGACCGAGGUAGUCUGAGGGGUCCCUGAUGAUGCAUCCACUGCCUUCCAGUCCUCUCAGGGUGUGAGCCAUCAGCUCCUGGGACUCUGUCAGAUUCAGACUCCUUAAUCUGCCCGGUUUGUUUUCUUUUGCAAUAGUUAUUACUCUCCUUCCUACCCUUAGAUCCUUGCUUAGCUCCGAUUUCUAAUAUGUUUUUAUGUCUUCUGCUGUGCAAACUGAUACCUGCCAUCUCCACAUUCCCCAUCGCUAAUUCCCAUCUCCACCUCCGCGACGUGUAGGCUGCUUGGGCUACACUCUCCCCAGUCCGUCCCCGGGCACAAAUUCACAGCCUGACUUCAUAUUUCCUACCAGCUUCCUCUCACUUACUAAUUUUCCUUUAUCAAUUAUUUUGAUUCUUUGCUUGUUGCUACAAUGCUCAUGCCCUGACAACACUUGUAGCGUCCUUAACCUUUUUAAUUGGUCUAGGAUCAGUCACUUCCCCUACAGAGAUUUUUCCUCUCCAGCAGAAUCAAUUGAUAGCAUUCAAACUUUCACUUGAAUGAUUGCAACAACUUAUCUGCUGUCUAUUAUUUUUAAUUUGCUUUCGUACCCAGCCUUAAGCAGCACACCUAUCAUGUCUACUUGAUGCCUUGUUAUUUAGCUUUAAGACACUAAUUUUGGACACUGGAGCACUCUGAGACAAGAUUUUUAAAUUAUAUCUCACUAUGAUCACAUUUCCUGGACCAUGGGUUAUUUUGUGUUUACAAAUUCAUCUUGUCUCAUUACAAAAGGGAGGUCUAAAACAGCCUCAUCGUCUGAUUGGUUCCAUGAUAUUUUGCUCUAGAAAAACCACUGAAAUGCAUUGUAUCAAAUCAACUCCCAAACUGCUCUGCCAGUUUGGUUUGUUGAAUCUAUAAGAUGAACAUCAGCAAGUUGAUCAGGUAUGAUAGCCGAGCGCUUCAGUUUCUGCACUUUAACUACAGGCACGUCACUGACAGAAAUCAGUCUUUAUAUAUUUAUCUUGCUUCUUAAUUUUUGUAAUGUUUUAAAUUUUGCUAUAAUAAAUUAUGUUUUACUCUUUUUAAUACUAUUUCUCCUACACAUAUCUCCGUCCCUGAUGCACCAACACUUAGAUCCAUCCAGGUGUUGGGCCACAAUCUAGAUUAGAAUUUGGUUCUUUGAUCAAUAGUUCCCUACGAACAGCAAGCUAGCGUUUGUACACUGUACUGGACGUGGACAAGCAUGUUAAAACUUAACGAGUACACUGGCUUCAGUGACUAAUAACAAUGCUGGCAAAUUCAGAUUCAGCUGACAGUGACCAUGAAAUUACUGCAUUCACUGGUUCACCAGUGUCUCAGGGAAGGAAAUCACUGUCCUCACUGCCUGAAGGUUCACCACACCCAAGAUCGGUGACUCUAAACGGCUACGGAUCAAUUAGUGGAGGGUGAUAAGUCCUGGCAAUGCAUUAAUAGGUCAGUGCGUGACCCACUGCCGCAGAGGGUGAAAGGUCAGUGCGUGACCCACUGCCGCAGAGGGUGAAAGGUCAGUGCGUGACCCACUGCCGCAGAGGGUGAAAGGUCAGUGUUUCUUUAUGUGAUACAUUCCUGAGGCACUGUCACAUUAACUAACCCCACCCCUCCCAUUCAAACCCCACCCUAUUGUACGUCAACCGCACUCUCCCUGCCCCAUGUGUCUGCC